GACGAACGCUGGCGGCGUGCCUAAUACAUGCAAGUCGAGCGAAGUUUUUCUGGUGCUUGCACUAGAAAAACUUAGCGGCGAACGGGUGAGUAACACGUAAAGAACCUGCCUGAUAGACUGGGACAACUAUUGGAAACGAUAGCUAAUACCGGAUAACAGCAUUAACUGCAUGGUUGAUGUUUGAAAGUUGGUUUUGCUAACACUAUGAGAUGGCUUUGCGGUGCAUUAGCUAGUUGGUGGGGUAAAGGCCUACCAAGGCAACGAUGCGUAGCCGACCUGAGAGGGUGAUCGGCCACACUGGGACUGAGACACGGCCCAGACUCCUACGGGAGGCAGCAGUAGGGAAUCUUCCGCAAUGGGCGAAAGCCUGACGGAGCAACGCCGCGUGAGUGAAGAAGGAUUUCGGUUCGUAAAGCUCUGUUGUUAGGGAAGAAUGAUUGUGUAGUAACUAUACACAGUAGAGACGGUACCUAACCAGGAAGCCACGGCUAACUACGUGCCAGCAGCCGCGGUAAUACGUAGGUGGCAAGCGUUGUCCGGAAUUAUUGGGCGUAAAGCGCGCGCAGGUGGUUUAAUAAGUCUGAUGUGAAAGCCCACGGCUCAACCGUGGAGGGUCAUUGGAAACUGUUAAACUUGAGUGCAGGAGAGAAAAGUGGAAUUCCUAGUGUAGCGGUGAAAUGCGUAGAGAUUAGGAGGAACACCAGUGGCGAAGGCGGCUUUUUGGCCUGUAACUGACACUGAGGCGCGAAAGCGUGGGGGAGCAAACAGG
Molecule: ribosomal RNA, 769 nt
Filed under: uncultured bacterium
Lineage: Bacteria
Description: bacterial SSU rRNA
Rfam family: Bacterial small subunit ribosomal RNA
Source: RNAcentral